RNAcentral lists this non-coding RNA (87 nucleotides) under Pseudomonas tolaasii NCPPB 2192. Lineage: Bacteria; Pseudomonadati; Pseudomonadota; Gammaproteobacteria; Pseudomonadales; Pseudomonadaceae. The record is from RNAcentral.
UGUGGGAGCUGGCUUGCCUGCGAUGGCAUCACCUCGGUCUGCUUGAAGGACCGAGUGGCCUGCAUCGCAGGCAAGCCAGCUCCCACA